GAUGAACGCUAGCGGGAGGCCUAACACAUGCAAGCCGAGCGGUAGAGAUUCUUCGGAAUCUUGAGAGCGGCGUACGGGUGCGGAACACGUGUGCAACCUGCCUUUAUCAGGGGGAUAGCCUUGCGAAAGGAAGAUUAAUACCCUAUAAUAUAUUGAUUGGCAUCCAUUGAUAUUGAAAACUCCGGUGGAUAAAGGUGGACACGCGCAAGAUUAGAUAGUUGGUGAGGUAACGGCUCACCAAGUCGAUGAGCUUUAGGGGGCCUGAGAGGGUGAUCCCCCACACUGGUACUGAGACACGGACCAGACUCCUACGGGAGGCAGCAGUGAGGAAUAUUGGACAAUGGGUGAGAGCCUGAUCCAGCCAUCCCGCGUGAAGGACGACGGUUCUAUGGAUUGUAAACUUCUUUUAUAUAGGGAUAAACCUACUUACGUGUAAGUAGCUGAAGGUACUAUAUGAAUAAGCACCGGCUAACUCCGUGCCAGCAGCCGCCGCCG
RNAcentral lists this ribosomal RNA (495 nucleotides) under uncultured bacterium. Its description in RNAcentral is "partial 16S ribosomal RNA". It matches the Rfam family "Bacterial small subunit ribosomal RNA", at positions 28 to 523 of the family's 1533-position model. The record is from RNAcentral.